UGGGGAAUAUUGGACAAUGGGGGCAACCCUGAUCCAGCCAUGCCGCGUGUGUGAAGAAGGCCUUCGGGUUGUAAAGCACUUUCAGUAGGGAGGAAAGGUAGCGUGUUAAUAGCCCGUUACUGUGACGUUACCUACAGAAGAAGGACCGGCUAACUCCGUGCCAGCAGCCGCGGUAAUACGGAGGGUCCGAGCGUUAAUCGGAAUUACUGGGCGUAAAGCGUGCGCAGGCGGUUUGUUAAGCAAGAUGUGAAAGCCCCGGGCUCAACCUGGGAAUUGCAUUUUGAACUGGCGAACUAGAGUCUUGUAGAGGGGGGUAGAAUUCCAGGUGUAGCGGUGAAAUGCGUAGAGAUCUGGAGGAAUACCGGUGGCGAAGGCGGCCCCCUGGACAAAGACUGACGCUCAGGCACGAAAGCGUGGGGAGCAAACAGGAUUAGAUACCCUGGUA
This 445-nucleotide ribosomal RNA is filed under the name uncultured bacterium. Its description in RNAcentral is "bacterial SSU rRNA". It matches the Rfam family "Bacterial small subunit ribosomal RNA", at positions 355 to 792 of the family's 1533-position model. The record is from RNAcentral.